This is a long non-coding RNA of Betta splendens (Siamese fighting fish), 398 nucleotides long. RefSeq lists it as uncharacterized. The transcript is spliced from 2 exons. Lineage: Eukaryota; Metazoa; Chordata; Actinopteri; Anabantiformes; Osphronemidae. The record is from RefSeq and is a predicted model, not a curated record.
CCGCCUCCCAACUUCCUCGGCACAUCUGCAGCCAGCUGCGGCAUGGGCGCAGCGGCGGGGAGGACGCGCCGUCCUCGUCUGUCCUCAAGCGAAGCAGUAAUCCAGGCGGGAUAGCGAAAGAGGGUGAGAUCCAGGAAAAACUGCCAUGAGAGAGUCGGUCUGCAGCUUCGUGCAAUAACACACACGGAUGGGUGGAACACUCGUCUCUGCACAGCUUCAACAACCGAAACCAAAUCAGCCGGCAAAAAGAAAAAAAAAUUAUUUACUUUGUAUUUAAUGUAAUAUUUGCUUAGAUUGUAUCUGUUAACAUGUGAGAUCACAUCUGGACAGUUCGCAAAUAUUAUAAAAAUAAACGUCUAGUAACAUCCUAGAGACUAAAGAGAUGCCACCGGAAACCA